AUGGUGAACUGGAAGAAAACUUGCUCCCCAAAAGAAUACGGAGGCAUCGGUAUAAAAAACUUGGAGUUCUUUGGUAGGGCAUUGAGACUGCGUUGGUUAUGGUUGCGAUGGGAUGACCUUGAUAGACCUUGGAAAGGUUCCCCUAUUCCCUGCGAUGACACCGAUCUGGCACUUUUCAAGGCUUGCACCCAUAUUACUCUUGGUGAUGGAGGCAAGACACAAUUUUGGCGUGAUCACUAGCUUGACGGCAUGGCCCCUGCUACUCUUGUGCCAUCUCUGUUCAAAAGGACAAGGAAGAAAUCUUUGACGGUUAAGGAUGCCAUUGCGGGAGACUAUUGGCUUCAGAAAUUGCCACCGAUCAAUAAUGAAGAGGACUUGCUCCAGUUUCUGUUUAUUUGGGACAAAAUUCAGAGAAUCACCCUCACAGAACUACCCGAUAAAAUCACUUGGAUUCAUUCAAACUGUGGGAAGUACUCAGCAAAAUCUGCAUACCACAUUCAGUUCACUGGGAGAAUUAGGAUGCCUGAUUUGGACAGAGUGUGGAAGACCAAAAUUGAGGGAAGGUUGCGAAGCGCUACCUCUGUAAGUGGCUGGUGGCAAAGGCUGCAUCACAUCUCUCAAAAGCCCCCCGGGAAUGAGUGUUCGGCGAUCACUUGCUAUGUUGCUUGGCACAUUUGGAAGGAACGUAACAGGAGAAUAUUCGAAGACAAGCAGAUGAAUGCAGUGGACAUCCUGAAAUUAGCAUGUGAUGAUUUUAGCCUCCUUCAGGGGGCACGAGAGUAG
RNAcentral lists this ribosomal RNA (783 nucleotides) under Triticum aestivum (bread wheat). RNAcentral describes it as "partial small subunit ribosomal RNA". Lineage: Eukaryota; Viridiplantae; Streptophyta; Magnoliopsida; Poales; Poaceae. The record is from RNAcentral.